UCCAAGUGAUGUUCUGGAGGCUUCU
RNAcentral lists this unclassified non-coding RNA (25 nucleotides) under Mus musculus (house mouse). Its description in RNAcentral is "oocyte_clustered_small_RNA104". Lineage: Eukaryota; Metazoa; Chordata; Mammalia; Rodentia; Muridae. The record is from RNAcentral.